AACCCUGCAGAGACUCAGAGGCUGGCAACUAGGGGCAGGGCCUUUUUAGUGGUAGCCCCCAUCCUUGGAACAACCUUCUUGUUGUGGCCUCCCUGAUGUCAAAUUUGUCAUCUUUUUGGUGCCAGGUUAAGACAGCUCUCUUUUGCAGAUGCCUUUAAAGACCUCCCUGGUACUUCUGGGGCCUGCUACAAUUAGCCAGGUGCUGUUCUCUUACUCUUGGUCUGGUCUUUUUAAAUUGUCUUUUUAUUGUCUUUUCAAGUUCUUUUAUGUUAUUUUAAAUUAUUAUUUUU
Varanus komodoensis (Komodo dragon) is the source of this 290-nucleotide long non-coding RNA. RefSeq lists it as uncharacterized. The record is from RefSeq and is a predicted model, not a curated record. The transcript has 3 exons. Lineage: Eukaryota; Metazoa; Chordata; Lepidosauria; Squamata; Varanidae.